GAAACUGUCUGAAAAUGAGAGUGAAGAAAACUGGCCUGCUUCUAUAAUUUCAACAGAAAGCACCCCAGGUAAACAAAAUGGCACACUUGUGCAAUCAGCAAUGAAGAAUUCUCCCUACUUAAAUGGCUGAAGUGAGACAAGUGGAGAGAGAAAGUACGGCUUUCUGUGAGAGCUGGGGAAAAAAUCACAACGUAAUUCCCCACGGCCUCCAGUUGCCUCAUGACCACGCUCCUAUCCUGCCCUGACCCUGUGCUGACGGACUCCUGAGAGCCUGCAGGGGCAGAGUGCUGCAUCACCCCAUUGCCACCUCUUUCCAAUGGGCAUCUGUCCACAUCAGUGGCUGCAGGAGAACCAUCAGCAAUCCUGGAGCAGCUCUUUGAGUUCCCCAGGCUGUGCUGCCAGGGAGUUUCAGCUUCUGGGAAAGGCCUCAGCAAGGAAAAGCUUUCAGCAUUCUCAAAGUCAUCUAAUUGUUCAGGACAUACUGAGUAUCUGCACUUAGAGAAAUCAUGUUCAGGUGGAGCUCCCUUGAAGGCAAGGCACCGGGAAGCCAAGAUGAGUUUUCAGAAAGUCCUGCUCCUGGUGAUUAAGACCAGAUCUUCGUGUGGAUGCUGCUGGAAAAGGCUGAGGCCGUGUUGGCCACCAGGAUGAGCACUCAUCAUCCUGCAGUAUCUGCCGGUCUAAUUGUGGGUUGCUUGUCAAAAAGAGAGAUAAGGAGGGCAGGUUGUAAGUACUGAGGUGUGCUUUCUUCCUUCCAUUCCUCCUUUGGCAGGAGGGAAGUCCUGAACAAGGCACGUGGAGCCUCUCCUCCCCUCUCUGCAUGCUUCAUCAGCAGGAAUUAAUUACCAGCUCUCCAGGUCACGCCAGCCAUCUGCCCCAUCAGCACUGGCCAAGACGCAAUGGAAGGGCAUGUAUGAGCUUCGGGGUUUUAACUGGAGCUGGGAGAGGGAGAAAAAAAGGAAUUUUUUUGCUGGUUGGCUUGAGUGUGGCCAUGGGUUUGUAGAGCCUGAAGGCUGAUUGCUGACCAUGCAUGCUGCAGCUCAGCACAGAGUGUGCCAACGGCUGAGACUUAUGUGACGACUGUCACCCAGCACAAGGAGCGAGCUGCCGAGCCAGGCCUUCUGUUUGGCAAAGCCCGACGACGCUGCUGAAUUAAAGACAUAAUUGGGGUUUUGGCAAAAUUGCAACACAGCUGCCCAAGGUCAUCUCCAGUGAAAGUAGCUGAGGAGGUUUACACAGAAGAUGUUAAUUGGAUUUUCGUUUUCUCUUUAGAAAGGUUCAGAGCUAUCGGAUCUCACCACACUACAUGCUGCAUGAAUAUGUCCAAUGAUAUUGUGAGCUGUGUUCAAUCUUAACGGCUUUCCAUCUCCGUAACAACGGUAUUAGCAUUAAUAUUGUGCCCAGGGCUCUGAGUGUGGAUACUAAUGGAGCUCAAUCAGCUCUAAAAGAACAAAGGAUCUCUUUUAUAUCGCACCCUGUGACAGUCAGAGGAUUGGAUUAGCAACUUGUCAGUCCUUUGUUUUGCAGCUUUUUUUGAUGCUUUCUGAAAUACUUGGAUAGUACGUAGAAUUGUUUUAUCUGAAAAAUUAAUACAAAACAAUAAG
Long non-coding RNA from Gallus gallus (chicken), 1601 nucleotides. NCBI's taxonomy places the organism in Eukaryota, Metazoa, Chordata, Aves, Galliformes, Phasianidae. The record is from Ensembl.